This 495-nucleotide ribosomal RNA is filed under the name uncultured bacterium. RNAcentral's name for it is "partial 16S ribosomal RNA". It matches the Rfam family "Bacterial small subunit ribosomal RNA", at positions 28 to 507 of the family's 1533-position model. The record is from RNAcentral.
GACGAACGCUGGCGGCGUGCCUAAUACAUGCAAGUAGAACGCUGAAGGAGGAGCUUGCUUCUCUGGAUGAGUUGCGAACGGGUGAGUAACGCGUAGGUAACCUGCCUGGUAGCGGGGGAUAACUAUUGGAAACGAUAGCUAAUACCGCAUAAGAGUAGAUGUUGCAUGACAUUUGCUUAAAAGGUGCAAUUGCAUCACUACCAGAUGGACCUGCGUUGUAUUAGCUAGUUGGUGGGGUAACGGCUCACCAAGGCGACGAUACAUAGCCGACCUGAGAGGGUGAUCGGCCACACUGGGACUGAGACACGGCCCAGACUCCUACGGGAGGCAGCAGUAGGGAAUCUUGGGCAAUGGACGGAAGUCUGACCGAGCAACGCCGCGUGAGUGAAGAAGGUUUUCGGAUCGUAAAGCUCUGUUGUAAGAGAAGAACGAGUGUGAGAGUGGAAAGUUCACACUGUGACGGUAUCUUACCAGAAAGGGACGGCUAACUACGUG